RNAcentral lists this ribosomal RNA (657 nucleotides) under Paralucilia pseudolyrcea. RNAcentral's name for it is "partial large subunit ribosomal RNA". The stretch from base 205 to 565 matches the Rfam family "Bacterial large subunit ribosomal RNA", at positions 2075 to 2645 of the family's 2925-position model. Lineage: Eukaryota; Metazoa; Arthropoda; Insecta; Diptera; Calliphoridae. The record is from RNAcentral.
AAACAUGUCUUUUUGAAUUUUUUUUAAAGUCUAGCCUGCCCACUGAAAUUUUUUAAAUGGCCGCAGUAUACUAACUGUGCAAAGGUAGCAUAAUCAUUAGUCUUUUAAUUGAAGGCUGGUAUGAAUGGUUGGACGAGAUAUUAACUGUUUCAUAAAAAUUUAUAAUAGAAUUUUAUUUUUUAGUCAAAAAGCUAAAAUAUAUUUAAAAGACGAGAAGACCCUAUAAAUCUUUAUAUUUAGAUUAUUAUAAUUUUAUAGAUUUUUUUUGUUAUAAUAAUUGAUAAUAUUUUAUUGGGGUGAUAUUAAAAUUUAAUAAACUUUUAAUUGUUUAAAUCAUUAAUUUAUGAAUAAUUGAUCCGUUAUUAGCGAUUAAAAAAAUAAGUUACUUUAGGGAUAACAGCGUAAUUUUUUUGGAGAGUUCAUAUCGAUAAAAAAGAUUGCGACCUCGAUGUUGGAUUAAGAUAUAAUUUUAGGUGUAGCCGCUUAAAUUUUAAGUCUGUUCGACUUUUAAAUUCUUACAUGAUCUGAGUUCAAACCGGCGUAAGCCAGGUUGGUUUCUAUCUUUAAAAAAUUAAAAUAUUUCAGUACGAAAGGACCUAAUAUUUGAUAAAUUAUUAUUUUUAUAUUGAAUAUAAUUAAUAUAAAUACUAUUUUGGC